ACAGAACUGGAGGAGGAGGAAUCUCAGCAUUUGCCCUGCUCUGUCUGCAUGAGGCCAGAGAGCAACCUGACCAGAGUUGACAAGCGGGAAGACAGGUGGCAAGUGACACCCUGCUCCUGUUGUCGUAAUAGUGAAGGAGAACGCUGCAUUUCUGCGGGUGUCAUAGCGACUCCCCCGGGGAGCAAUCAUGCUGCGCCCGAGGCUUAGAGCCUCACAGCGAGGGGCUGGGAGCACCCAAGAGGAGGGACUGACAUGGGAGAGAUGGAGCCAUGCGUGUUGGUGACACUGGACCCGGACUCCGUCCUGGCGACCCGACCUGGGACUCUCAAAGGUGAUUCAGAGAUUC
Molecule: long non-coding RNA, 346 nt
Filed under: Fukomys damarensis (Damara mole-rat)
Lineage: Eukaryota; Metazoa; Chordata; Mammalia; Rodentia; Bathyergidae
Description: lncRNA (ENSFDAG00000021798.1)
Source: RNAcentral